Molecule: ribosomal RNA, 253 nt
Filed under: uncultured bacterium
Lineage: Bacteria
Description: partial 16S ribosomal RNA
Rfam family: Bacterial small subunit ribosomal RNA
Source: RNAcentral
UACGGAGGGGGCUAGCGUUGUUCGGAAUUACUGGGCGUAAAGCGCGCGUAGGCGGCUUUGCAAGUCGGGUGUGAAAUCCCCAGGCUUAACCUGGGAACUGCAUUCGAGACUGCAUUGCUAGAGUAUGGGAGAGGGAGGUGGAAUUUCCGGUGUAGCGGUGAAAUGCGUAGAUAUCGGAAGGAACAUCAGUGGCGAAAGCGACUUCCUGGACCAAUACUGACGCUCAUGUGCGAAAGCGUGGGGAGCAAACAGG